AUGCUAUUUGGGGGAUUUGUUCUUCUACUAGGGGGUCUAGGAGUAGUAUUACUUACCAACCCCAUUUAUUCUGCCUUUUCGUUGGGAUUAGUUCUUGUUUGUCUAUCCUUAUUCUAUUUUUUAUUAAAUUCCUACUUUGUAGCUGUCACACAACUUCUUAUUUAUGUGGGAGCCAUAAAUGUCUUGAUCAUAUUCGUUGUAUUAUUCGUAAAUGGCUCAGAAUGGUCUAAAGAUAAGAAUUAUUGGACUAUUGGAGAUGGGUUCACUUCACUCAUUUGUAUAACUAUUGUUUUUUCACUAAUGACAACUAUCCCAAAUACGUCGUGGUAUGGAAUUGUUUAG
Molecule: ribosomal RNA, 342 nt
Filed under: Triticum aestivum (bread wheat)
Lineage: Eukaryota; Viridiplantae; Streptophyta; Magnoliopsida; Poales; Poaceae
Description: partial small subunit ribosomal RNA
Source: RNAcentral